GAUGAAGAACGUAGCGAAAUGCGAUAAGUAGUGUGAAUUGCAGAAUUCCGUGAAUCAUCUAAUCUUUGAACGCACAUUGCGCCUUCUGGUAUUCCGGAAGGCAUGCCUGUUCGAGAGUCAUUAACAACCGUUUCGAUCCCUUUCUUUCAGAAAUUACAAAGAGGAAAAGGGUUUGGUUAUGGUGGAGGAGGGAAAGGGAGCGUUUAGCCUGUAAAAAAAGAGGCUGUGUUCCGCCUCCCCCCCAAAAUUGUACAGGCGGUCGUGUGCGCCCACGCAUCGAGGUGUUGUAAAAGCUGCCACGGCACUUUUCACCUGUGCAGUGCGAGAUUGGCCAGCCGGUUUAAAAACCCCUCCAAACAAGCAAAGGUUGACCUCGGAUCAGGUAGGGAUACCCGCUGAACUUAAGCAUAUCAAUAAGCGGAGGA
This 425-nucleotide unclassified non-coding RNA is filed under the name soil metagenome. RNAcentral describes it as "partial contains 5.8S ribosomal RNA, internal transcribed spacer 2, and large subunit ribosomal RNA". The stretch from base 1 to 120 matches the Rfam family "5.8S ribosomal RNA", at positions 35 to 154 of the family's 154-position model. The record is from RNAcentral.